Molecule: non-coding RNA, 125 nt
Organism: Brachypodium distachyon (stiff brome)
Lineage: Eukaryota; Viridiplantae; Streptophyta; Magnoliopsida; Poales; Poaceae
Source: Rfam
CAGAUACUCCUUCCGUCCCAUAUUAAGUGACUCAAAUUUGUCCAAAUAUGGAUGUAUCUAUACCUAAAAAGCAUCUAGAUACAUGUAAUAUUUCAACACCUAAUAUGGGACGGAGGGAGUACAUU